AAAUUAAAAUAUAUUGGUGGUAGAGGAGACUGCCAAAUCAUAAUGAAUAUUUUGAAGAAGGUGAUGUCGGACGCACUAGCUGAAGAGAACACUUGGGUGAAGAGCUGCCAAAACAAAGAAAGUUGUUUAAAUACCUGAAGUUAUAGCAGUUUAUUUUACUUAUUUACAAAAAAGGCAUAGAAAAGUUAAAUUGGGAGUUUGGACAUUGGAGCUUUGGAGUUUCCAGACAUCGAAAGUGUAGAAUCUGAUGCUGAAACAAAGAAAACAACGCCGGCAACUUCAAUUCUCCAAUUCUUCAGAUGAAGACACUGUAGUAAAGAAGCCAGCGAAGCUGCACUUGCCAUUGCUACAAGAGUGCACACUGGCAAAAUAUUUUCAACCAGAAAUUUCUGCAUCUGUUACAACUAGUCUUCACUGCAGCUCUGAGAACUAUAAUACUCGGAAAGCAGACUUAUCAGAAAGAUUUAAUAAAGAGAUAGUGCGAAUUCAUCUCCCUGGAGUAACUGAAGAGAAAGUUGCUACUAUAACAGCUAACUGGUUGAAGUAUGCAAAGCAAGGUUAAAGAAAGAAAUGAAACGAAGGUGAAAGAGGCAUUGUAAACUUAUAUUAUGAAAAUAUGAAUCAUAUUAUAAAAAUUCCAUGAAGGCCAUUUGAAAAACAUAUUGUAUAUAUUUAUGUAAUUGUUGAUAUAGAUAAAAUGUGUUAUUAACAGUAUUAACAGCAUUAAGAAAAUGCUUCAUAAAAUAUAUUAAAAGGAUCUUUAAAAUUUUUACACAUGAAAUGAAUUUAAGUUUGUUAUGGAAUUGAUAUUUUUACAUCUGUACGAGGUGUGACCCCCCCAAAAAGAGAGAGAGACUGUGUAACUUCAAAAGAAGAGUGGAGUUGGCAACAACUGCUUUGGUGACGUAAUUCCACACCUCUUCUAUCCAUGUGGCCACUUUUGACAUAACCGAUCACACCAAUUAGGAGUACUGCGUCAUUGAGUGAACAUGUGCAACUGCAUUCUGCAAGAAAAAAUGUCUAAUGUAAAAAUCCAAUAGCGAAUCAACAUCAAGUUUCUUGUGAAACUUAAGAAAUCAGCCACGGAAAUAUUUCAAAUGUUAACUGAGGUUUAUAGAGAUGAAACUUUGUCUUGUGCACAUGUGUUUGAAUGGCAUAAGCGAUUUUCAGAGAGAAGGGACAAAGCACACAUGUCAAAAUCAAAAUUUAAGACAAUGUUAAUUGCCUUCCUUGACAUUAAUGGAAUUGUAAUGAUUGAGUAGGUUCCAAGUGAUCAGACUGUUAAUUAACACUACUACACUUAAGUACUAAAAAGAAUUCGUGAAAAAAGCCACAUUUGUGAAAUGAUGGAUCUCUGUUGCACCAGGACAAUGCACCCACUCACAUGGCCCUAUCUGUCAAGCAGUUUUUAAUCAGCAAAAACAUUACUGUGAUGGGGCAUUCUGCUUAUUCACCUGAUUUGGCUCCAUGCGACUUUUUUUUUUAUUUCCUAAAACUAAAUCUUGCUUAAAGGGAAGCCAUUUUACCUCAAUUGAAGAGGUUCAUGCAAAAAGUGGAGAAUCUCCUGAAAGGCAUUCCAAAAACCUUGUUCCAGAACUGUUACCAGCAAUGGCAGCACUGAAUGCAGAAAUGUGUGAAUGAAGGGGACUACUUUGAAGGUGAUAAUGUCACAGAGAACUGAUUCUGUAAGUACAAUGAUUUACUGGACCAAUCUUGUAUUUUUUGUGUCACACCUCAUACAUUUAUUAAUUAAAACUUUCUUACAUUUAUUGCAAAAAGGACUAAUUUUAGAUGUUUAAUUUCAUUUACAUAGCAGUGUUCACUAUAAGUAUUCGUUGUACUACUUAAUAUUCAAAUGAAGAAAUAUAAAUUUUAUUAGCACAAAAACUUCUAUCAAUAUAUGUUUUAAAUGCAGAAAAACAUAAAUACACAAAAAACAAAUUAUUUCAACAAUAUGAUGAUCAGCACAGCAUUUUGAUAGUAGGAUGUAAUUAUUCCCUUAACUGCUCAAAAAUCCUUUGUUGAGACAUACCACAUAUCAAUAUGAAAGUCCCAUGCACAAUUCAGGCUGUCAAUACUAUGAGUAGAUAUUUUCUAAUUACAGUACACUCCCGAUUAUCCGCGGAAUUGGGUGGCGCGGCCACCACGAAUAACAGAAAAUGCGGAUAAUCUGAAAAAAGCUAAAAAUGGGUAUAGCAAAUAAGAAAACAGUCAUUCAAAUUUUGAAAAAUCGUUUUAUGUACAAUAAAAUGUAAAAUAAACAGCAGGAAAUGUUUAACUAAUGCUUAAUAUUUUAGCUUAUUACGCUUAAUAUAUUCUCCCCAUGAAGUGCAAUUUCUCGAAUUCCAUGUCGCUGCUUAAAACGAGUCAACCAGCCAGAAGACGCAUCAAAAUUUCCUUUCAUGCCUAACAACUCAAAAAAGGUUUUUGCCUUCGCCGCAAUGAUAGGAC
Molecule: long non-coding RNA, 2451 nt
Organism: Stegodyphus dumicola
Lineage: Eukaryota; Metazoa; Arthropoda; Arachnida; Araneae; Eresidae
Source: RefSeq, a predicted model, not a curated record